Molecule: ribosomal RNA, 164 nt
Filed under: Bambusa sinospinosa
Lineage: Eukaryota; Viridiplantae; Streptophyta; Magnoliopsida; Poales; Poaceae
Description: 5.8S ribosomal RNA
Rfam family: 5.8S ribosomal RNA
About the family: 5.8S ribosomal RNA (5.8S rRNA) is a component of the large subunit of the eukaryotic ribosome. It is transcribed by RNA polymerase I as part of the 45S precursor that also contains 18S and 28S rRNA. Functionally, it is thought that 5.8S rRNA may be involved in ribosome translocation.
Source: RNAcentral
CACACGACUCUCGGCAACGGAUAUCUCGGCUCUCGCAUCGAUGAAGAACGUAGCGAAAUGCGAUACCUGGUGUGAAUUGCAGAAUCCCGCGAACCAUCGAGUCUUUGAACGCAAGUAGCGCCCGAGGCCACCCGGCCGAGGGCACGCCUGCCUGGGCGUCACGC